AUUUUUAUAGUGUAUAGAACACUUAACAUUUUCAUUGUUAAAAAGCUCUUUAGCUAAAAAUA
Molecule: transfer RNA, 62 nt
Filed under: Argas sp. San Antonio ARK-2022a
Lineage: Eukaryota; Metazoa; Arthropoda; Arachnida; Ixodida; Argasidae
Also listed under: 1 other name
Description: tRNA-Glu
Source: RNAcentral